This 139-nucleotide microRNA precursor is filed under the name Chlorocebus sabaeus (green monkey). Its description in RNAcentral is "microRNA 320b-2 (ENSCSAG00000024696.1)". The stretch from base 31 to 105 matches the Rfam family "mir-320 microRNA precursor family". The record is from RNAcentral. Lineage: Eukaryota; Metazoa; Chordata; Mammalia; Primates; Cercopithecidae.
UGUUAUUUUUAGUCUUCUACCUAAGAAUUCUGUCUCUUAGGCUUUCUCUUCCCAGUUUUCCCAAAGUUGGGAAAAGCUGGGUUGAGAGGGCAAAAGGAGAAAAAAAAUAAUUCUGUCUCUGACACAGUUAAAUAGGGAA